UUGAGACGAGAUGUGAGACAUGUUCGUAGCGGUCGAUAGGGCUUCCGACCCGGUUGGUUUAGUUUAGUAGCUACCCUUUUUAUAUCUGUUGUUAUAUCUUUGAUAUAUUGGUUCAGUUGAUUUUUGUUCAAUUGGAUAAAUGUGAUUUUAGUAAAUGAAUUAAAGAACGUAUGGUUUUCUUUGAGAUGAAAACGGUUUUCUACCCCUCUUGGUAGCGUGUUUUAAAAAGAAAAAGGUUUCUAUGUGGGAAACGGUUUUGAAAAGGUUUUCUCAUGGUUUUCAUAAAGUAGUAUUUCAAAAUGAUUUUUCGGGUAGGAAACAUUUCAACUGAUAGAUGUGGAUUUAUGUUCAAAUCUCUGUAUAUGAAGCUAUGGUGAAUGGUGUAUGGAUGUACGAAUAUAUGGAUAUUUGUAUGUUCAGUGAUAGUGGUUGUAUCCUGGUUAUACUCUUGUACUCGUGCGACGCCGUGCAAAUACAGGGGAGACUCUGUCCGUGUGAACAGUGGGCUCUCUGUAUUUGU
RNAcentral lists this long non-coding RNA (520 nucleotides) under Ananas comosus (pineapple). Its description in RNAcentral is "long non-coding RNA (ACOM_LNC010169)". Lineage: Eukaryota; Viridiplantae; Streptophyta; Magnoliopsida; Poales; Bromeliaceae. The record is from RNAcentral.